AUGUACUGGUCUUCAAUAAGCAAACUUUCUAACCCCCUCCCAGUCAAGCGAAAUAAAUCUAGUAAUAAGAAUAAUCAAUUGGAUUCUAAGUUUAUAUAACAGAUGUAUCACAUAUUUUAUCAAAUAUCGAUGAACAACGACAUGACAGAAUGUUUCAUAAAACUGAAAAGAACAUUAAUAAGUUAUAGCUCUAGAAUGUGCCGAAUUUAGACAAAAUGUGCUUUAGUAACUACUAAAUGAAGAGUGGAACAUAGAAAAAAAAAAACAAAGUUGAUACUCUUAAAAUCAUUUGAUUAAAAUAAUAUAAUAUUAUUAUAUACAUGUAAACAAACAGGGAUGUCAUGGGCUACACACGGAA
Molecule: long non-coding RNA, 358 nt
Filed under: Mytilus galloprovincialis (Mediterranean mussel)
Lineage: Eukaryota; Metazoa; Mollusca; Bivalvia; Mytilida; Mytilidae
Source: RNAcentral